This is a long non-coding RNA of Acinonyx jubatus (cheetah), 2041 nucleotides long. RefSeq lists it as uncharacterized. The transcript has 3 exons. Lineage: Eukaryota; Metazoa; Chordata; Mammalia; Carnivora; Felidae. The record is from RefSeq and is a predicted model, not a curated record.
AGGGUCCUGAAUAAAGUCUCUCGUCAGAGAAACAGGUCUGCUUUUGUCAAUAUGGCAUUUCAGGAAUGUGUGCCCACAGGACCCCUUGCUCAUCCCUUUUAAAUGUCGGUUUAACAGCAAUGACCCUGUCAAGCGAGUAUUUUCCAGAGGCCCAGCCGAGCAAGUGUGUAAGGUUGUGAAUAGCUGUCCAGGACCCAGGAACACCCCACGGAAAAGUGGGGCAAAGCUUGGGACCCACAGUCCGAAGAUAAGAACUCUGUGUAACCGAUGAGUCAUUGUAAGAGCAUGUUGAGGACUCAAGGCUGGGGACUGUGACAGCCUUUUCAUCUUUCAAACAUGGCCCAGCUGCAGUGACAGACCCUCCAGUGACAUCCCACUGCCUGGCUUGAGCUCCCACAGGAGGAGCUCCCACACUUCCCCUUAAGCAUCCUAAAACCAAGGAAAGGAGCCCUUCGGCGACAAAGAACGAAGAGGAACUUUGCGCUAAAAAUCACUUGGUUGGCUCAACGUCUUUCUCAACAACAGCCAGUAGGUCGGUUGACUUGUACUUCCCGAAGAUCUGAAUAGAACUGAAAGAUGAAAGGCCAGGUUGCCAUCUGAUCACCACGUACGCUUCUCUCUGACAAGCUCACGGUUCCCUCCCGUCUGAUUUAUUAUGCUCCUUGGCUUUGCGGCAACAUUUCACAAACUCAUCGAUACAGAAAUUCCCGAGACACUCAUGUUCAUGGCCAAACCAGGGAACUGGUGAUGGGUUGACCCACACCAGCUCCAGGGUCUUGCUCACUUCCCAUAGAAGAUACCAACCAUGGGGUAGCCUCAUCUUAUCAGCAAUUCCGAGGGGACCACGGUGCAGUCGACAGCAAGAUGGCAGAGUCCUGGUUGUCCCUGUGUCAGGUUGACCUCCUAAGAGCUUGCAGGGGAGAUGGCUUUGAAAUCCUUGAAUGAGUUCAUGCUCUUUUCUUGAAAUACACUGAAUUCUGGUAACUUCCUAGAGUGCCGUGUCCCUGCCUUAUGCUGGUUUCCCUUGUGGCCCCAUGAGCCCCUUGCAUGGAUUUGAGUAUCCUGGGUGUUGAGUUCAUUGUUGCAUCUUGGCUCAACAUCCUAGACCAGGAGCCAAGGAAAAAGGUCUUUGGAUACUUCUUGCUGAGUCCUGUUUCUCAUCCCCGGUACACAAAGGUGAGGGUGAGGGGUGGGACACUGAAAACUAAGCAGACUGCUCAUUGGUGUCACUUUUGUACUGUUUUUCAUCUUUCUGGGGACAAAAGUGUCUGUUCCAAAGGGACAGAAUGGGAAAUUUGACUAAAAGUUUUAAAAUUCAAACCCAGGGAUGCCUGGGUGGCUCAGUCAGUUAAGCGUCCGACUUUGGAUUUCGGCUCAGGUCAUGAUCUCACGGUUCGUGAGUGUGAGCCCUGCAUGGGUCUCUGCAUUGACAGCAUGGAGCCUGCUUGGGAUUCUCUCUCCUCCUCUCUUUCUGCCCCUCCCCUGAUCGCCCGAGUGUGUGCUCUGUCUUUCUCAAAAUAAAUAAAUAAACCAAAAACAGGUAGAGAGAUACUGGCUGUUGGAUGGUUCUAGAACAGAUUCUGAGAAGGGACUAAGGAUAGGGAGGGAGAGGGGCUGUCUGGCACGGACUCCUCGUGGCCACUUUCCUUCAGGCUCUUCCUGGACCUCCACACAUACAGAGGGACUCACAGGCUGAAAGAUCACCAUACUCCCCUCCUCAAAUGCCUGCUUUCUGCUGGAGCCCCCUGCUCGGCUCUCAGCACUCUCCACCCCACCAUUCAUUACCUUGUCUCCUGACUCAUUUUCUUCAGAGCACUUAUCACGAAUCACAAGCCAUGAUUGUCUUGCUUUCCUGCUUCUUUUCUACUCCAAGCCUCAGGGGUCUGCCUUCUUUAUUCUUUAUUUAAUCCUCGUGUCCAGUACAGUGCCUGGCUUAACUCCAAAACGACUCGUUGAAUACAUGCAACUUGCAUAGGAGACAUGGCACAAGGGGCUAGGACUUGGACACUGAAGAGGUCAGAUCAGUUCAAGUGCUCAGUAA